GACAGGUGGUGCAUGGUUGUCGUCAGCUCGUGUCGUGAGAUGUUGGGUUAAGUCCCGCAACGAGCGCAACCCUUAUCUUCAGUAGCCAGCAGUAAGAUGGGCACUCUGGAGAGACUGCCAGGGAUAACCUGGAGGAAGGUGGGGAUGACGUCAAAUCAUCAUGCCCCUUAUGACUUGGGCCACACACGUGCUACAAUGGCGUAAACAAAGAGAAGCGAGAGCGUGAGCUGGAGCAAAUCUCAAAAAUAACGUCUCAGUUCGGACUGUAGUCUGCAACCCGACUACACGAAGCUGGAAUCGCUAGUAAUCGCGGAUCAGAAUGCCGCGGUGAAUACGUUCCCGGGUCUUGUACACACCGCCCGUCACACCAUGGGAGUUGGUAAUGCCCGAAGUCAGUGAUCCAAGAAAGGAAGCUGCCGAAGGCAGGACUGAUAACUGGGGUGAAGUCGUAACAAGGUAGCCGUAUCGGAAGGUGCGGCUGGAUCACCUCCUUUCUAAG
Molecule: ribosomal RNA, 499 nt
Filed under: Oribacterium sp. C9
Lineage: Bacteria; Bacillati; Bacillota; Clostridia; Lachnospirales; Lachnospiraceae
Description: bacterial SSU rRNA
Rfam family: Bacterial small subunit ribosomal RNA
Source: RNAcentral